GGCCGACGCCCAGGAGCGUAUUGAGCUCCACCUGGAGCACAUGAACGCGACGGCCAAGGACAGCGGCGGAUCUCGCAUCUGGAGGCGCAUCUCCAUGAUGGGCGGCGCCGCCACGCCCAUCAAACGGAGCGUCUCCGAGCAGGACAUCACGACCCUCCGGCUGCGCAAGUUUGGCCUGGAGACG
Long non-coding RNA from Pollicipes pollicipes, 184 nucleotides. RefSeq lists it as uncharacterized. Lineage: Eukaryota; Metazoa; Arthropoda; Thecostraca; Pollicipedomorpha; Pollicipedidae. The transcript has 3 exons. The record is from RefSeq and is a predicted model, not a curated record.